AACGAACGCUGGCGGCAUGCCUAACACAUGCAAGUCGAACGAAGCCUUCGGGCUUAGUGGCGCACGGGUGCGUAACGCGUGGGAAUCUGCCCCUUUCUUCGGAAUAACAGUUAGAAAUGACUGCUAAUACCGGAUGAAGUCUUCGGACCAAAGAUUUAUCGGCAAGGGAUGAGCCCGCGUAGGAUUAGGUAGUUGGUGGGGUAAAGGCCUACCAAGCCGACGAUCCUUAGCUGGUCUGAGAGGAUGAUCAGCCACACUGGGACUGAGACACGGCCCAGACUCCUACGGGAGGCAGCAGUGGGGAAUAUUGGAAAAUGGACGCAAGUCUGAUGCAGCAAUGCCGCGUGAGUGAUGAAGGCCUUAGGGUUGUAAAGCUCUUUUACCAGGGAUGAUAAUGACAGUACCUGGAGAAUAAGCUCCGGCUAACUCCGUG
RNAcentral lists this ribosomal RNA (433 nucleotides) under uncultured bacterium. RNAcentral describes it as "partial 16S ribosomal RNA". It matches the Rfam family "Bacterial small subunit ribosomal RNA", at positions 29 to 507 of the family's 1533-position model. The record is from RNAcentral.